UCCGAGUUGUCCCCGGCAGUCCUCUUAGAGUCCCCGGCAUUACCCGCUGGCAACUAAGAGCAGGGGUUGCGCUCGUUGCGGCACUUAAGCCAACACCUCACGGCACGAGCUGACGACAGCCAUGCAGCAUCUGUGCACGCUCCCUCGCGGGUCAUCCCGGUUUCCCGGUCUUACCACGUGCAUGUCAAGCCCAGGUAAGGUUCUUCGCGUUGCGUCGAAUUAAACCACACGCUCCGCUGCUUGUGCGGGCCCCCGUCAAUUUCUUUGAGUUUUAGCCUUGCGGCCGUACUCCCCAGGCGGGGCACUUAAUGCGUUUGCUGCGGCACGGAACUCGUGGAAUGAGCCCCACACCUAGUGCCCAACGUUUACGGCAUGGACUAC
This 381-nucleotide unclassified non-coding RNA is filed under the name uncultured bacterium. RNAcentral's name for it is "contains 16S-23S intergenic spacer region". The record is from RNAcentral.